RNAcentral lists this long non-coding RNA (536 nucleotides) under Ananas comosus (pineapple). Its description in RNAcentral is "long non-coding RNA (ACOM_LNC036783)". The record is from RNAcentral. Lineage: Eukaryota; Viridiplantae; Streptophyta; Magnoliopsida; Poales; Bromeliaceae.
GGCAAUUGCUUAUAUACUUUUAAAAAUUUUUGACUUUCUGAUUUAUCUCUCUUAAAAGGCUAAUAUUGAAAAUAUUUUUUUUACGUUCCAACAUAUUUCAAAUAUAUUCCUAGAGUUAAAUUCUAUUAAUAAAAUGUUAAAAUAGAUGUUAUCUCUAUAAAAUUACUAUUUUGCUCUUUCAAAUAUAUCCUUCUACCAUCACCGACUUUUCUUAUUUGUCUUUUAAGUUAGAGGUACAAAAAAUAUUUUGAUUUUUUAUUUUUUCAAAUAUACCCUUCUACCAUCACUAAUAUUUCUUAUUUGCCCUUAAGUUAAGGAUAAAAGAGGUAUUUUAUUUUUUUUUUAACUCUAGUAAAUAUUUAACUCACGUUUAACCCAAGUUAACUUAACAUGUGGUAACUGUAAAGAUAUUUUAAAAUAACGGAGAAAUAUAUGAGGGGUAUAUUGGAAAGAAAAAAAAAUAGAGAUAAAUAAAAUAUUUCUGAAAUUUUGAAAGGUAUAUAGAUAUAAUUAUUCAUUUUUUUUAAAAAAAAAUA